This 526-nucleotide ribosomal RNA is filed under the name Bifidobacterium breve. RNAcentral describes it as "bacterial SSU rRNA". It matches the Rfam family "Bacterial small subunit ribosomal RNA", at positions 160 to 696 of the family's 1533-position model. Lineage: Bacteria; Bacillati; Actinomycetota; Actinomycetes; Bifidobacteriales; Bifidobacteriaceae. The record is from RNAcentral.
GUGGUAAUGCCGGAUGCUCCAUCUCAUUGCAUGGUGUUUUGGGAAAGCCUUUGCGGCAUGGGAUGGGGUCGCGUCCUAUCAGCUUGAUGGCGGGGUAACGGCCCACCAUGGCUUCGACGGGUAGCCGGCCUGAGAGGGCGACCGGCCACAUUGGGACUGAGAUACGGCCCAGACUCCUACGGGAGGCAGCAGUGGGGAAUAUUGCACAAUGGGCGCAAGCCUGAUGCAGCGACGCCGCGUGAGGGAUGGAGGCCUUCGGGUUGUAAACCUCUUUUGUUAGGGAGCAAGGCAUUUUGUGUUGAGUGUACCUUUCGAAUAAGCACCGGCUAACUACGUGCCAGCAGCCGCGGUAAUACGUAGGGUGCAAGCGUUAUCCGGAAUUAUUGGGCGUAAAGGGCUCGUAGGCGGUUCGUCGCGUCCGGUGUGAAAGUCCAUCGCUUAACGGUGGAUCCGCGCCGGGUACGGGCGGGCUUGAGUGCGGUAGGGGAGACUGGAAUUCCCGGUGUAACGGUGGAAUGUGUAGAUA